This 200-nucleotide ribosomal RNA is filed under the name uncultured organism. Its description in RNAcentral is "partial small subunit ribosomal RNA". It matches the Rfam family "Bacterial small subunit ribosomal RNA", at positions 1184 to 1382 of the family's 1533-position model. The record is from RNAcentral.
GUCAAGUCAUCAUGGCCCUUAUGGCCAGGGCUACACACGUGCUACAAUGGCCGGUACAGAGGGUCGCCAACCCGCGAGGGGGAGCCAAUCCCAAAAAGCCGGUCGUAGUCCGGAUCGCAGUCUGCAACUCGGCUGCGUGAAGUCGGAAUCGCUAGUAAUCGCGAAUCAGCGAUGUCGCGGUGAAUACGUUCCCGGGUCUU